RNAcentral lists this ribosomal RNA (253 nucleotides) under uncultured bacterium. RNAcentral's name for it is "partial 16S ribosomal RNA". It matches the Rfam family "Bacterial small subunit ribosomal RNA", at positions 524 to 776 of the family's 1533-position model. The record is from RNAcentral.
UACGUAGGGGGCAAGCGUUGUCCGGAAUCAUUGGGCGUAAAGAGCGUGUAGGCGGCCUGGUAAGUCCGCUGUGAAAGUCCAGGGCUCAACCCUGGAAUGCCGGUGGAAACUGUCAGGCUCGAGUCCGGAAGAGGCGAGUGGAGUUCCUGGUGUAGCGGUGAAAUGCGCAGAUAUCAGGAGGAACACCAAUGGCGAAGGCAGCUCGCUGGGACGGUACUGACGCUGAGACGCGAAAGCGUGGGGAGCAAACAGG